UGGGGAAUCUUCCGCAAUGGACGAAAGUCUGACGGAGCAACGCCGCGUGAGUGAAGAAGGUUUUCGGAUCGUAAAACUCUGUCUUUUGGGGCGAACGUGAGUAUGGUGAACAAUCAUAGUCAGUGACGGUACCAAAGGAGGAAGCCACGGCUAACUACGUGCCAGCAGCCGCGGUAAUACGUAGGUGGCAAGCGUUGUCCGGAAUUAUUGGGCGUAAAGAGCGCGUAGGCGGGAUAGUCAGUCUGUUGUAAAGUGCGGGGCUCAACCCCGUGAUCGCAAUGGAAACAGCUAUUCUUGAGUGCAGGAGAGGAAAGUGGAAUUCCCAGUGUAGCGGUGAAAUGCGUAGAUAUUGGGAGGAACACCAGUGGCGAAGGCGACUUUCUGGACUGUGUCUGACGCUGAGGCGCGAAAGCCAGGGGAGCGAACGGGAUUAGAUACCCCGGUAGUCCUGGCCGUAAACGAUGGGUACUGGGUGUGGGAGGUAUCGACCCCUUCCGUGCCGGAGUUAACGCAAUAAGUACCCCGCCUGGGGAGUACGGUCGCAAGACUGAAACUUAAAUGAAUUGA
Molecule: ribosomal RNA, 567 nt
Filed under: uncultured bacterium
Lineage: Bacteria
Description: partial 16S ribosomal RNA
Rfam family: Bacterial small subunit ribosomal RNA
Source: RNAcentral